CCAGGGUCAAUGACAGCUGGAGACCAACAAUGGCAACGAAAACGGCUCAAUCUGUCCCUGAACUCACUAUAUAACCAAGGAUGACCUUAAACGUCUCCUGUCCCCACCUUCAGAACAUGGGACUUACAAGCAUGUGCCACCGCAUCCAAGAUGGCUUUCAAAAGCUGCCAAACAGAGGCACUGAUGUCCUUAAUUAAUGCCACUGACCCAGUGAAUUGGGAUUCUGGAUGAUGUGUCCAAGACACCGAAUUGACUUUAGAUAGGACUUGGCUCCAUUUGCUGGGCUCCAGGAGACUCCAAAAGCUACAGUGGCGGUCCAUGUGAGGGGCAUGCAUA
Molecule: long non-coding RNA, 336 nt
Filed under: Cricetulus griseus (Chinese hamster)
Lineage: Eukaryota; Metazoa; Chordata; Mammalia; Rodentia; Cricetidae
Description: lncRNA (ENSCGRG00015037757.1)
Source: RNAcentral